UCUGAAUUCCUGGGUUCAAAUCUUGGCUCUUCCAAAGCUGUUCCUUCAUCAGUAAAAUGGGGUAAAACUCACACUUACCUCGCGGAGCUGUCAAGAUAAAUGUGUUAUGGGACUUGUUCUCUUCUUCCUCCCCAGCCCCACCCCCAGGAGCUCAGGAGCUGGGGAGUAUCGAGGGGACGCCAAGCCGGCCCUUCACCCAGCUGUGCCUUGAACUCUGCCUUGACCUUUGAAAGGAAAUCUGAUAGCUAGUAAAUAAGACUCCAGGAGCGAGCAACCUGAGCAGAGAUGAGCAGAACAGAGAGAGGACUACGGGUCAAGGUCAGCCCAUGGCCCCAAAGGACUGUGAAUGGCCCGACCCAUAGCUGGCUUCUUGGUAAUUACUUCCAAGGUUCGAGACUUAGUGAACCCAGGGCUUUUAAAGAGACUCACUCCUUAUGCUGCAGGGUGUUUUUGUCAAAUGUGAUUUCUUGCCUUUGGUUAUGAGGGAAAGAGUCACCUAGACCAGACUGAGGGCAAACAAAAAAGAAAAAGGAGGACUUUAGCUCCAGACUCCGCUCACCACUGACACUGAAACGCCUCUCCUUCAAUGUUCUGGGACAACGGCAUUUGCAUCAACAGGCUUCACUGAAACUGUCAGCAGAAAACUAGUUUCUCCCACAUGAAACUAGUUAGUAUUAACUUCUUAUUAGUAUUGACUUAUUUAAAAAAACAUUACUCCUUGUAAAAAAUCCAAGCAUAGCAAAUACAGCUCAAGACCCACUUGACUCAACAUUCUGGCCAGCGGCGCAGGGGAGAGCACGGGACCAGUGCAGCUGAGGUCCUCUUGACUGCUUUCCUGUAUGUUUGUGUAUGGACAGACAGGUUUCAAGGGGCGUCACACUGUGACCGUGAUUCUUCCCAAUUAGCACACACUGCCCUCGGGCGCACUGCACGCAUCGACGUGUGCACCGGAACUUAACCACUCCCCAGACGGGGAGCACGUUGGUCACCUCCAUCUGUGGUUACAUUACACCCCACGCUCCAGUGCACAUCGCUGUGAAUGCCCCUAUAAACACAUAUCUUUGUAUACAUGAGGGAAUAUUUCUCUAGGUAGCUAGAGAAAUCGAAUUAUUGGCCUUGAUCAUUUAAAUUUUAAUAUAUAUUGCCAAACUGCCAUCUACAGUGGUUGUACCAUUUCCAUGAACAGAUGCUGACAAAGUUAAGACAAGUGAUAGCAUGAGAGAAAGAAAAAAAAAAUA
Non-coding RNA from Equus caballus (horse), 1238 nucleotides. NCBI's taxonomy places the organism in Eukaryota, Metazoa, Chordata, Mammalia, Perissodactyla, Equidae. The record is from RefSeq and is a predicted model, not a curated record.